UGAAUACUACCUGUUGACCGAUAGCGGAUCAGUACCGUGAGGGAAUGGUGAAAAGUACCCCGGGAGGGGAGUGAAAUAGUACCUGAAACCGUGUGCUUACAAUCCGUCAAAGCCUCCCUUCGUGGUGGGGUGAUGGCGUGCCUUUUGAAGAAUGAGCCUGCGAGUUAGUGAUGCGUGGCGAGGUUAACCCGUGGUGGGGGAGUCGUAGCGAAAGCGAGUCCGAUAAGGGCGUGAGUCGCGUGUUCUAGACCCGAAGCGGUGUGAUCUAUCCAUGG
Molecule: ribosomal RNA, 275 nt
Filed under: Tryblionella compressa
Lineage: Eukaryota; Bacillariophyta; Bacillariophyceae; Bacillariales; Bacillariaceae
Description: partial Bacterial large subunit ribosomal RNA
Rfam family: Bacterial large subunit ribosomal RNA
Source: RNAcentral